GGGGGUGACUUGGCUUCGACGUGGAUCGCGAAACCCAAGGUGCAUGCCGAGGUGCAGUUAACCUCGUAAAACCAACUGCAACUAAGUUAGUUGCCAACGACGACAACUACGCUCUAGCCGCUUAAUCGGCUGGUCUCUGAACAGGGCCUGCUUAUGGACGCUGACUCGGGGAUAACACAAGCAUAAGCUCGCGAAGAGGCAUGUCCGGGGCCAAAUCGCUAAAACUCACGGAAUCGCUGAGGGCACUCCUUCCUGUCGGGUUGUCACCAGUUAAAAACAAUGACAUGGAUAAGCAUGUAGAUCCGAAGGCGGAGGAUUUGCGGACGCGGGUUCAAUUCCCGCCACCUCCACCA
This 353-nucleotide transfer-messenger RNA is filed under the name Methylococcaceae. RNAcentral describes it as "UBA6136 sp007280285 Standard tmRNA". It matches the Rfam family "transfer-messenger RNA". Rfam says of the family: Bacterial tmRNA, also known as 10Sa RNA or SsrA, is named for its dual tRNA and mRNA-like properties. Its role is to liberate the mRNA from a stalled ribosome. To accomplish this part of the tmRNA is used as a reading frame that ends in a translation stop signal. The record is from RNAcentral. RNAcentral also lists the same sequence under 2 other names. Lineage: Bacteria; Pseudomonadati; Pseudomonadota; Gammaproteobacteria; Methylococcales.